AGGAAAAUGCCCACAAUGUAGCUUCACUCAAUGACUAAAAGGGGAAGCACAAAGAAAUUGGCUGCUUCAGUCAGAGAUGGUCUUUUAACUCACCCCAAAGAGCGAACACAAUUCAAAACGGAUUCAAAAGCACAUUCUGGUUGCUAGAUUUUUACUUUAUUUAUAAGAAAUCGACAUUGAUGUGGAAGUUUUUGUCAGCUAACUAGUUAGCUAGCAAUGUUAGUUUAACGCGACGAGUUUGCCUCAGUUCGUUUCUGGUCGCUUACGCUACAUUGGCCAACUUACUAACUACUUAAUUUGUCCUGCCAUUCCCGAAGUGAUGUACUUCCAGUUCGACGUAAUAGAAUUUUACAAAAAGCAUUGCAGAUGUCAAGGUCACAGUGAUGGAGCAGAAUAGAAAGACACUUUGAUUCGUGGCCAAUGCCGUCAGAGGGAUUGUCUGGUUUUUAAGUCUUGCAGUGCAAGACCUGGAUCGUGGCAGAUUUGGCACAGGUAGCUUAACUUCUUGACCUUUGGUGUUCAAAAAUCCCUGUCUAAGUUCCUUCUACUAAGACCCACAGAAAUGUGGACUCACCUUUUGAUGGUGAGUAAAACUGACUCAGUUUAGU
Molecule: long non-coding RNA, 608 nt
Organism: Micropterus salmoides (largemouth bass)
Lineage: Eukaryota; Metazoa; Chordata; Actinopteri; Centrarchiformes; Centrarchidae
Exons: 3
Source: RefSeq, a predicted model, not a curated record